RNAcentral lists this long non-coding RNA (699 nucleotides) under Glycine max (soybean). RNAcentral's name for it is "long non-coding RNA (GMAX_LNC003851)". Lineage: Eukaryota; Viridiplantae; Streptophyta; Magnoliopsida; Fabales; Fabaceae. The record is from RNAcentral.
UUAACAUGAUAGGAAAAAAAGACAGAUGAUUAAUGGAUCGAUCUACUGUUAGAUUAGAUGUGAAAUGACAGAUAAUUGUCGGUGUAUACUGCUAUAUUAUCAAAGAUAAAAAAAAUUGUUUUGCUAGAUAUCUUCUUCACAAAUUUUGUACAAGAUCUAUCUAUUUUUAUUUUUUUUUCUCUUCCUUUCUCUUCUUCUGCAAUUAAUUUCCACCACCAACGGAUAUCCCUCUUAGCUUGUAUAUCUUCGUUGGUACUGCAGGAAGCUAGAAAUAAGAAGAAAAAAGGCAGUCAUCAAAAGCCUCAAGAGAAGAGGAAGAAAAUCAGCAGGCCGGCACCUUGUAGCAGCUUUCUUUGCGAGGCGAGCUUCCUAAGUAGCAUUAAGAAUUCGAAGGUCCUGCAUGGUUGGAUCUUCCCUAAUGAUGAAUUAAAAGGAUAUGUUUCUGCAUACUGAUACUUAAGCAGUGUUUAUGUUUCCCGUGUCAUCAAUAAAGCAAUUUGCAUCUGUGCUUUCAAAUCAUGCAGCAAGCAGAAAUAAAAUUAAAGAGGAGACUGAUAUUAGUGGGCAAACCGAGAAAUCCAAUCACCAGUGAUAAAAAUUUGGAGACUUGAAUUUGACGGAGUUGUGUCUGUACUACUUUUUGCGAUUGUCCAAUGUAUUAAUAGCAAAGACUACUGUUUUAAUCAAUUUCUCAACAAC